Non-coding RNA from Solanum lycopersicum (tomato), 17875 nucleotides. The record is from RefSeq and is a predicted model, not a curated record. Lineage: Eukaryota; Viridiplantae; Streptophyta; Magnoliopsida; Solanales; Solanaceae.
GGUAGGGUUUUCUAUCUGAUACUCCUCCUUGCACUCCGCCUCUUUCAUCAACUUGUUUUCUCUUAGAAUGGAUCUAAACUUGACUUACAUUCCGCCUCCUCGCUCUGGGAACAUCUAUGUGUAUCUCAUGAUGUCAUGCAUUCUUCACUUUCUCAGCUUGCUGAAUGGUAUCUCCAAUUAAUGCGAUGGAUUUCAAAAUUGUUUCGACGAAGAUGCCAAGUCUUGUGCAGUAUUGAUCGAACUCUAUUGGUUGGUGAUUGUGAUUUAAGAGUGAGCAAUCAUCUAUUGUCCAAGUAACUACAAUAUUCAUCCACGUGAGAAAAAAGCUUGCAAUUCUGGUUCAAGAUUCAAAGGUGUUGUGGGCCAACAUAAUGGUCAUUAUGCUAAGGUAUGUAUAGACACUACUCUUCUUAUACAAUAUUUGUGGGAUUACAGUUAAUAUGUACGCUGUUGAUUUGUUAUUUUUGCAUGUUAUACAAGAGAUAUUUUCUGACAACGAUCCACAGAAAAUAUAAAUUCCUAAGAGUUUAAAUUAUAUACAACAAUGUAAAUGAUUUAUAUAGGUUACCCACAAAGAUAUCUGCACACUAUAUGUAAAACUUCUCAAAAUAUGAGAUUCUAAUAUUACUUAGGGAUCACAAGCCUACAUCAUUUUGUGUGUUUUUUAAUCCUCUUGAUAAAUUCAUGAUUUCAAUGUUAUUUGGGAUAAUUUUGAAUUUUCGAAGAACCAAUUUUUUUCAAAAGGAAAUAACUAUAAGUGAUGUUGAGUUUUAUAGGUUUGUGUAUAUCUAAAAAAAUAAUAUAAGCAAUAAAGUAUUUGAGUUAUUGCAAAAGAAAUCGAAAAUUUUAUUUUUACACUGGGUUGGCGUAAGUUUGUGAAAGAGAAAGGUUUAAGAGCAAAAGAUACGAUUAUUUCACAAACUUAGACCAACCCUUUGUAAAAAUAACUUUUUGAUUACUUUUGCAAUAACAAUAUCUAAACUUUCAUAAUUUCCUAUAUCAUAGAAGUUCAUCUCCUCAUUUUGGAUUUGAGGAAAAUAAUUUAAUGCAUUUUUUAGGUAUAUGUAAGCUUAUUGAAGUUCAACAUCACUUGGGGUUAGCUCUUUUUGAAAAAGUUGCUUGUAUGAGAAUUCAUAUUAUCCUUUAAAUAACAUUAAAAACGUAAAUUUACUAAGAGGAUAAAAAAAACACAAAAUGUUUUAGACUUGUAAUCCCUAAGUACUAUUGGAAUCACAUAUUUUAAGAAAGUUCACAUGCAGUAUAUAGACUAGAUUUGCCUUGGCUCAUGCUUUAGUAUAGUGUCACGGACCUAAAGAUUCUGACAAGACUCCUUGCGGCACUUGACGGUUUGCUCACGAUUCUUUCACAAUCUCGCAAACUCAAGUAAGCCUCUCACAAUUUGGAUCGCUAAGAGAAAUAAGAAGGCAGACAAAAGACGGAAUUUGGAAGAAAGGACUAGUAUCUUAUUAGUCAAUUGAUGGAUGUAUUACAAAUACAAUGACUCUACUAUUUAUACUACUCUAAUGACUAAGAGUAAAUAAAUGCUACAAUACAAGUCCCUAAGUUCAUGCACUCAAGACAUGACUACAUUCUAAGAAUGACUCUAUUCUAAGAAUGACUCUAACUCUUCCAAAAAGGGACUCCUACCCUUCCCUAGUCUGCCCCAACGUUCUAGAGGGCCUGCACAAGCCUCCCUAAGGCUGAAAACUGCCCCCCUCCAUCCGCUGAAUGCCUGAAACGUCUGCCCCUCCGUCUGCUGCCUGCUUGGACUGCCAGCCCCUUCGUCUGCUGACCGUUUUGGGCUGCCUGUCCCCUUGCACACGCUGCUAGCUGCCUAGAUGGGUGGCGAUCUGCCUGGAUAGAUGGCGGGACGUCAUAAUAGGCCCAACAUAGUUUAUUUCAGUGUCAGCUUUUUUUCAACGCAACAGUACAUACAACCCAAUUAAUUAGACAUUGGUGUAUAGUGAAUGAGUGAAUAGUGCUCAACUUAUGAAGGGAAUGUGAUAGUAUAUUGUAAGUAUGAAUACUAAGAGGUAAGGAUUGACUAUUUGUCAUAAGGUCCUAGUGGACGAGUGUUUCUGAAUUUGUACCCGUAGUUGGAAGUUAUUAUAGUAAGAGAGCAAUUAUAUUGGUAUUCGGAUUUACUCAUAAAUAUUAAGUUUGAAUUUGAGAUGAGUGUAUGAUCAAAAGAAUGAAAACACGAGGAUGAUGAUGUUAGUCUUGAGAUUUGAUCUAGAAGACUUGACAUAGAGUAGGUGAGGAAUUGAGGUGAUAAGUUGCAAUACAUAUGCGUGAUACAAAUGACAGACCCUAAUGUUUAGAUAAGGGCAAUGAAGUGUGACUAAUUCACAAGAGUAAAAAGAGCAUUAAAUGUGUGCUGAGAAGGUAUGCCUCAUAAGAUGUUAAGAGAUACAUGUUAGAAAGAGGUCUCAGUACCCAUUUAUGGAGAAUUUAGUAUCCAUGAGAUAAGUUUUCCCGAAUGUUAGAGUAAGAUGAUUGUACAUCAGUAUAGAGAUGAUGAAAUAGGUCCAUGACUUUCAAGUGUUAGCUUUAUAACUGAGAGGGAGAUGGUUGCCACACCCCAGCCUACACCCCGAACGUGACUGACACCCGAGAAAUAUUUUUGGUUCAAAGCUAAUCCUUGGCGUGACUUACUUACUCAACGAAAGACUAACUCAAGCAUACAAAACUUCAAAACUGAAUAAAAUUCGUGAAACUUACAAAUCUUUAACUCAAAUGAAUAACUUUGAAUAAAAAUAGAAUAUUCAACUACCCAAUAAUAGACAACUUAAGUCUUUAAUACAUUUGAUAAGAUAAAAGAAACAAAAGUUUUCAAACUCUGCUAUCCAUUUAUAAGACUUCUAAAUAACAAAUAUGGAAGUCAGGACAAGGCCCACGACAUCCUAACAAUUGAUAUAACUGAAAGGUAAAUGAUUUCCUUUUGAAGUAAGAAGGUUCACCAUAGCUAACUCAAACUCCAUGUGGUAUCAACGAAGCUACUGUUGGUCAUGAUCCCAGAAUGGCUCAGUAUAGUGUUUUGCAAUGCUCGUGCAUUCCAUGUACUGAGUCAUUUGGCUUGCAUCCUUUCAUGAUGCAGAUUCAAGUCUCUUGGAUCAUCAAUAGUAGUAGCUUCGUUCAUACCAAAAGUAUUUCGAGUUAGCUAUGGUGAGUCUCCUUGCUUCCAGAGGAUUCCAUUUACCUUUCAGUUAUAUCGGUUGUAAUUAGGAUGUCAUGAGUCUUGCCCCAACUUCCAUCUUUGUCAUUUAGAGGCUUCAUAGAUAGAUAGUAAAGUUUGAGAAGUUUGUUUCAUUUAUCUUAUUAAGUGUAUUAAAGAUUUGAGUUGUCUAUUGUUGGCUAGUUGAAUAUUCUAUUUUAAUUAAGAGUUACUCAUUUGAGUUAAAUAUUUGUAAGUUUCAUGAAUUUUAUUUAAUUUUAAAGUUUUGUAUGCUUGAGUUAGUCUUCCACUUGUAGUCAUCCAGGAUGAGGAUUCGCUUCGGGACUAUCAAUUGUUCUGGAGUGUAUGACACAUCCUAGGUGUAGGCUCGGAUCGUAACAUGUACGAAAUAUAAACUCAUAUACCUUCAAAUAAUAUUUGAUCAUUUUGUUCUAAAUAGGUUACGUACCACAAAUACAUGAUUACGUAAGUGAUGAUAAGUGCAUACGACUACUCCAUGGGUAUAAACAUUAUAGACAAAGACCAACAAAUGUCUAGUUUGUAAUAUUUUGCUAUCUCGUUCACGUUCUUGAGUCCUAUAUCAUCAAUAAACUCUCUUCAUAAAUAAUCGAAUUUGAAGAACACGGAUAUGUUUGUUAGAAAAAGAAGACGGCAUACAAGUAUCACUAAAAUUAUCCUUACAACACUCAUAUAACUCUAAGAGGUGCAAAUAUCAAUUAGAAACUAAUCCUUACAACACCUCUUACUAUAAUUAUUAAUUGAUAACAUGAAUGUUGGUCUAAAUAAGAUUUCAGAGAAACAUGAUUAUCGAAAAAUGGGUUGAUAAGAAUGUCAAGGUGAAUUGGACGGUAAUUUCGAGAGGAUGGCUACGAAAUUAGGGUUAACAACUUUCCAAAUUGGGUGGAUCGAGUAAAAUAUUAAAUAUAAAGAAAAUUUUAAUUUAUUAAAAAUAUAUCCAUGGGAGACAUGUAAGCGCCACACAAGAUAAUAAAAGUAGUGGCAUAAUAUUUAACUGAUCAAGGGUAAAUAUGCUCUCAAAGUUGGAUGAUAAGGGCAAAUAUAUCAAAAGAGUAUAACUAAGGGUAUAUAUAUAACCAUUUUCUAAGAGUAUAAGGGCAAUUGACAAAUAUUUCCUUUUCCAUAUAUUAAAUUAGUGAUGCUUCGUGUUUAAUCUAGGAAAUUCCUUUAAAUUCCUGAAGUGGGAGGUGAAAAGUUGAGUAAUUGAAUGUAAUUCUUUUUUCGGAAAAGGGUCAAAAAUACCGUUAAACUAUUUGAAAUAUCCCAUAUAUACCCUUAAACUAUAUUUUGGCUCAAAACUACCCUUCCCGUCAAACUAUUGGGUCAAAAGUGCCCUUCUAAUUAACGAAAAAUUGUUAAAUGUCAUGUGGAUACCACGCUGAAGUUUCUCUGCCAAAAAAUAUAUUUAUUUUUUUCUCAUUUUUGUCUUUUUUAAAAAUAAAAAAAUUAGGUCUUCUCUUUCAUAAUUUAAAGGUAAUAUUAUUAAGAACAAAUUUCAAAUAUAGCAAAUAUUAAAAUUAUAUUUGUAUAUUAUAUCUAUUGUUUACAUAAUUGCGCUUCAUAUCCAUAGCAAAUUCAUGUUUGCUAUGAAGACUUUUGAUUUGUAUAAUUCUCUAGAUACAUUCAACUUUAUACAAACUGUUUAAUUUUGUAUAAAUUGAAUAUAUUGCAUUAUAAUUUGUAUAAUAAGAUCUGUAUUCGUAUAAUUAUAAGCGUAUAAAAUGAAAAUAUAUAUAUUUAUAUUUGUAUUUACACUUUUUUCUCGUUUUAUACAAUCACAAACGCUUUUUAUAUAUUUGUAUAUCAAAUGGGUAAUUGUAUACUGAAAAUGGCUAAGAUUAAAAAAAAUAGAAUAUUUAAUGUGAAUUAUAAAUAACAUAAACUAUAGUUAUAACAUUUAAUUUCAAUUAAUAGUUUAAUAUCCCCUAUAAUUUUCUCUAUUAAAAAGGGAUCAUAACAUAAUUAUUCAAUUAAAUAGACAAUUAAUACGCUUUAAUGUCUAUCACAGAACAAUUUUAAAUUAAUUAAAAUAUAUUUUAACCUAUAUUUAUUGUAUUUAAUGAACAUUAUUUCAUAUUCCCAUAAAUACAUAUUCAGUGCUUUCGAUUAUAAAUACCAACUGAGAUAUUGGGAUGAGUAUCAAUUUUGUAUUUUUCAUCUCAUCUAUCUAAUCCCCAAUUGGUGUCUCCAUUUUGGUGAGAUUUUAUUUUUUUUAAAUUAUUUUGUCUGGUUGUAGAAUGAAAUUCAUUUUUCUUAUCAAUUAAUUUAAAUUUUUUAUACAUUUAUAAUCUCCUGUAUUUCGAUUAUUAUAUUAUUUUAUUAUAGUUAUUAAAUUUGUUCAGAAUGUUUUGUCAUGAUUUUUGUAAUUUCAUUACUUUAUUUCACGAUAUAUUUUUCCUAAAAUUAAGAAUAUAUAGAAAAUAAUUUCUCUAAUCUCCUUAUGAUUCAUGUAUGCAAAUCAUUUGAAUUUCUAAUUGAAGUGAAUAAUCAUUACAUAUGUCGAUAUUAUUUUUAAUCUUCUUCUAUAGAAAUUAUAUUUCCUCAAUAUUUUCAUUCAUUUAUCACUACAAUGUGAAGUCUUAUGGUUUUGAUUUUAUGCCUAAAGUAAGUUUUACAAUUAUAUUUUUUGGUUCUAUUAUCUCUGUGUAUUGGUAGAGUAUUUAGUUGUUUAAAUAGACUGCCUUAUUGAUUUUUAAUUAUUUUGUAUGAGAUAGUGAUUGAGUUAUAUAGUAAUAUUAUACUCAAUAUUACAGUCUGUUUGGCAUUAUUAUCGAACGAUCUAAAGCAUUUAUUUUGAGGGGAAAAAAGUACUUUUAUUGAAAAAUUAAAUGCUCGACAAAUCAGUAAAAGUUUUUAAAUAGAAAUAGAAGUAAUUUUUUUGCUAUUGGAAAGAAGCUAAAAAUUUUUGCUUAAAAAAGAAAAUCGACGCUGAAACAAAAAAUUAUUUUUCUCAAGACUAAAAUAUUAUUUUUUAUGUAUACACUUAUUAAUAUAUUUCUUAUUAAUUAAUUAACAUAUUAAUAGGUUUGGUUAAAAAUAUUUAAGAAUCUUAUUUUUCCGUUUUUAUAUGAGAAUGUGUUAGCAUUUUUGUUAAUGCUGAUAUGGUCCGUAUUAGAUGGUCCAUUAUCCACUUCAUGGACCCAUUAUUCCACUAAUGGGAAGCUAGUUAACUACCUAAUGAGAUAAUGGUUAACUGCCCAUUGAUAAUGGUUAAAUACCGAUUAUCCCACUACAUGAAUCCACUAUCCUACUAAGUGGUUGGUAACUUCACAUGACCUUUUAACCGUUUUUGAUGGAAGGACGGUUAUAAAUAUGUUAUUUGGUUCAAAGGUCCCUAAGCACAUUACAUUCUAAAAACUUUAUAUCAUCUAAGAGUGAGAUUUUGAGUGCUUAGAAGAUUCUUGAAGAAAAGAAGAAUUGUAGACUCCAACUAUAUCGCUAGCAAUGGUUGGAGGUAUGUCGAUCACUCUAUAUUUUCGUUGUGUCAUUGCUCUGUAAUCUCCAACAUUAUGUUAUAAUUUAUUUUACAUUAUAUAUUAUUAUUUUUUAUACUAUAUAUUAUAUUACAUAUUAUUUUGUAAAAUAGUAAAAAGGUAACAAUAAUAUUUUUACAAGAUUAAAAGAAGAAAAAUAAUUUUUUUAUCCUCCCAAAAACGUGUAAUAUUGAAUGAAAAUUAUACAUGUAAAUUUUAAUUUUUUAAAAAUAAAAUUUAAUUAUUUUUUUUAAUAGAUAUUUUGAAUAGUUUUUCUCUAUAAAUAAUUUUAAUAUUAGAAGUAAAUUAGUACUUUAUUGCAAAUUGUUAUUUUUAAAAAUUUUAUAAAUAGUGAGUCUAAUCUUAAUAUUUUUUGUAUAUGUCUUAUAAGAUUAUUUAUUUUGACGAAUAAAAUGUUUAGGUAGUAUAUGUUCAUUUAAAUUUAUGAAGUGUGAACUAUUUACUUAGGUCAUAAUCUUAGAAGAUAUAUCUCCAAUUUAGAGAUACAUUUUUCCCUCUUGUGAUCAAAAAGCACACGCGUCUUUGUUAGGUCAAUUUUUUUAUGUUUUGAGAAAAAAAUUUAAAUAAGAUUAUAAUAUAAUAUUUUUCUAAUAUAUAAAAAAUAUUAUGUCAACAAUGAUUUUGGCUAGAAAAUAUUUUAUUAUUUAAGUUAUGCAAAUGACAAUUGUAUAUAGGAAUUUUAAAUCGAUUAUGAUCUUUUGUAAAAUAAUUCAUUUUCCUUAUUUAAACUAUGUGAUGUGAUUCUUAUAUAUUUAACAAGUGUUUGAUUAUAGAUUUUGCAUUAGAUUUGGAAAAUAUAUCUUUUAAAAAUAAUUUAUUCAAAAAAUGUUUCACUUUAACUCACAAAUUCAUAUUUUUUUUUCAAGUCAUUCUACUAAUCACUACUCCAUAAAAAGUGUUCAAAUUAAAAAUAUUUAUCUAUGACUAACAAAAAAAGUUACCAUGUACAAGUUUGAAACUUUCAUCAAUUCUCCAACUAAUCUAUUGAAUUAAUUAAUUAAUUAAAAUCAACUACAAUCUCUAUGGUACAAUUAUAUAUAUAAAUAAUUUUGUUAUUUUGUCCUAUCAUAAUAAUAAGAAUUUUCUAGUUCUUAUAAAAAUCAUAUCACUUUUACCUUUCUAUAAAAAUAAAAUUGCGGAGCAUCUAGCUCCUUUAUUCCAUUUUAAAAAUUUUGUACAAAAAGGCCCAACAUAAGCCCAAAUAAAUCAAAUAAGUACAGCCUAACAGGGUCCAUCAAAAAUAGGAAAUAGACCACUCUAUAAAUUGAUUCUAAAUGGUAGGGUUUCCUGAUACUCAUCAUUUCACUCCGCCUCUUUUAUCAACAAGUUUUCUCCUGGAGUUGGUUUGAACUUGACUUAGUUUCCCCCUCCUCGCUCUAUGGAACAUUUAUGUGUACUCUUCUCUUUCUCAGCUCGUUGUAGUAGGUAUCAUUUCUUUUUUAUCUUUCUAAUUCUUUGUAUCUCCUCUAACUUUCUCUUUUUUUGCAGAGGUAUAUAUACUCUGGUAGAUGAAAUAGAUCUUUAAAUUGUCUCGACAAAGAUGUCAGGUUAUGUGAAUCUGUCAUUAAUGAUUGACAUAAUUAGGUUUGUUUUUGUUCAUUCUCUUUGUAUUUUAUCACAUGAAUUCUUAUUUCUAUAAUUUUGCAAAGUAUAUUCUGGUUUAAAUCUUUCAAUGAAUAUCCACAUAGUUUUUUUCUCUUUUGACUUGUAAAAACAGAGAAAGUCUUUUAUUUUGAUUGACGUUUGGACAUAAAUUUUGUGAAAUUUGAAAAGAAAAAAAAGUAGCAUUUAAGAGAGAAUUGUGUUGACCUCCCAAAUGGUCACUCAGCUAAUAUUUAUCAUCCCAGAAAGUCAUUUACUUGUUAAAAAAAUUGAAAAUCAACAAGAAGAAUGUCUUUCUAUGAUAAUAAACAUUAAUUGAGUGAUACCAUCUAUUAUAUUGUCCAUUAUUAACUUUAAUUUAGAACCACACGAUUAAAAGUUUUUUUUCUUUUCUUAAACUCUGUUCCAAGUCAAACUAGGUCAUCCUUUUGGAAACGGAGGGAUUACUUCUUUUUCUUAAAUUCAAAGUGAACGUGAGAUUUUAUGAUGUAUCAAGAAGAUUAUGAAAGUUCAUUUGAAACGAAUGGAGUAUUUCUUUUUCUUAAAUUCAAAGUGAACGUGAGAUUUUAUGAUAUAUCAAGAAGACUAUGAAAGUUAAUGUAUUGUUGCAAAAGAAAUCAAAAAAUUUAUUUUCGAAAAGGGUUGGCAUAAGUUUGUGAAAGCCGGAGAUUUAGGAGUAAAGUACAAUUAUUUUCGCAAAUAAUUGUAUCUUUUGCUCUUAAACCUUUAGCUUUAACAAAUUUGUGCCAACCCUUUGUGUAUAUAAUUUUUAUUUCUUUUACAAUAACAAUAUAUAAAUUUUCAUAGUCUCUUUAUGCAUCAUAAAAACCCAUGUCCUCUUUGAAGAAAAUACUUUGUUGGAUAUUCUUAGGUAUAUAAGCCUAUAAAAUCCAAUAUCACCUGGAGUUAGCUCCUUUUGAAAGCUAUUUGUAUGGGAAUUCAAGAUUAUCCUAUAAGUAACAUUAAAAUCAUGGAUUUUACCAAGAGGACUAAAAAAACACAAAAUGCUAUAGGCUUAUGAUCCCUAAGUACUAUUGGACUCACAUAUUUUAAGUAGGUUUACACGUAGAAUGUAGAUUGAACUCAUAGAAUAAAAUUUGAGUCUUAAAAUUCAAUACAAAUUUCAGAGAUUGGAUUUACGUCCGUAGAUCAAACCACGAAUGAUCCAUGAAGAUUUUUUUUCCAGCUUUUAAAACUAGUUAAGGGUUUGAACAGUGUUAAUCAAUCCUUUACGUUCAUUAAUGCUUCCAAGUCUUAAAGCAAGGAUCCAAGAGGAGAAAGCUAAGGUUUUGAGCGUUCUUCGACUUUUCAUCGAUUUCACUAAGAACUAUGUUCUUCAGUGUAUGUAAGGCUAUCAUAAUGGUGGACUAAGUUUGUCCUCACGCCCUACAUCUAUCUAAAUUCAGUAAAAGAGUAAUCUAGGAUUUUAUCAUUAAUUUUAAGUAUUUAUAAGGUGAGUAACAUCGUCGAAUUCUGAGUUUUUGAUUUCUUAGUAUUGAGUUCUCUAUAUUGUUAUUGAUAUCCUUGAGUUGAGGUGUUCAUGUUUAUAAUUCAGCAUGAAUAAAGCAAACAUUUUUGUCUUAAACUGAUUUUCGGAGCAAGUAAAGAUAAGUUUUGACAAAAGAGUUUUAAACAUAAUUUGAGUAAGAGUAUAAGGGAACUAAGUAUUCCCAAAUGUAUCACUCUUUUUACAUUGAGAAAAAUAAUAUUUUGAUUUCCAAAUGGGUUACUUUUUAUAUUAAGAAAAAUAAUAUUUUAAUUUCCAAAUGAGUUAACGAGUUUAGAGAUAUUUCAACUAAUCAUUACUCCAUAAAAAGUGUGUCAAACAAAUCAUAUUUAUCUAUGACUAACAAACAAAGUUACCAUGUACAAGUUUGAAAUUUCCAAUCUAUUGAAUUAAUUAAAUUAAUUAAAAUCAACUACAAUCUCUAUGGUACAAUUAUAUAUAUAAAUAUUUUGUUAUUUUGUCCUAUCAUAAUAAUAAAAAUUUUCUAGUUCUUAUAAAAAUCAUAUCACUUUUACUUUUCUUUAAAAAUAAAAUUGCAGAGCGUCUAGCUCCUUUAUUCCAUUUCAAAAAUUUUGUACAAAAAGGCCCAACAUAAGCCCAAAUAAAUCAAACAAGUACAACCUAACUAGGUCCAUCAAAAAUAGGAAAUAGACCACUCUAUAAAUGAUUCUAAAUGGUAGGGUUUCCAGAUACUUGUCAUUUCACUCCGCCUCUUUCAUCAACACGUUUUCUCCUUGAGUUGGUUUGAACUUGACUUACUUUCCGUCUCCUCGCUCUAUGAAAUAUCUCCAAACGCUAUAUACUCUUCUCUUUCUCAACUCGUUGUAGUAGGUAUCAUUUCCUUUUUAUCUUUGUAAUUCUUUGUAUCUCCUCUAACUUUCUCUUUUUUGCAGAGGUAUAUAUACUCUGUUGGAUGCAUUAAAUUUUUAAAUUGUCUCGACAAAAAUGUCGGGUUAUGAGAAUCUGUCAUUAAUGAUUGACAUAAUUAGGUUUGUUUUUGUUCAUUCUCCUUGUAUUUUUUCACAUGAAUUCUUGUUUCAAUUAUUUUGUAAAAUAUAUUUUGGUUUAAAUCUUUCAAUGAAUAUGCUGAUAGUUUUUUUCUUUUUGACUUGUAAAAAUAGAGAAAGACUUUUGUUUGGAUGGACGUUUGGACAUAAAUUUUGUGAAAUUAGAAAAGAAAAAAAAAAGUAGCAUUUAAGAGAGUAUUGUGUUGACCUCCCAGAUCGUCACUCAGCUAAUAUUUAUCAUCUCUAAAAGUAAUUUACUUGUUAAAAAAAUUGAAAAUCGACAAGACAGAAUGUCUUUCGAAGAUAAUAAACAUUAAUUGAGUGAGACCAUCUAUUAUAUAGUCCAUUAUUAAUAUUAUUAUUUUAUAUUUUAAUCUUUGUGUCUGAACAAUAAAAUUAAGCAUUUGAAAUUGUACCUAACUACCUACCAAUCUCUAAUAUUUUCAUAGAUUUUCUCAAAAUAUGUUUUUUUUUUUAGAACAAAAAAAGUUCUUAUGAUUCAACAUGAAAGACGAAAUGACCUUAAAAUCAAGUAUAAUCACAUACAUAACAAUUGGUGAUUGCGUUUUAAGAGCGAGCAAUCAUCUAUUGCCCGAAAAAUACAAGAUUCAUGCAUCUGAGAAAAAAACUUGCAAUUCUAGAUGAAGACUUAAAGGUGGUUUAGGCCAACUUAAUUGACAUUGUCCUAAGGUAUGUGUAGAUGCUACUCUCCUUAUACGUCACUUGUGGAAUUACACUAAAUUUGUAUGUUGUUUUAUGUCAUACCAGAGAUAAAUACAUACAGUUCAGGUAUUGUUAUUGCAAAAGGGUUGGCAUAAGUUCGUGAAAGACGGAGGUUUAAGACCAAACGAUACAAUUAUUUUCAAAUAAUUGUAUCUUUUGCUCUUAAACCCUUAGCUUUUACAAAUCUAUGUCAAUUCUUUGUGUAAAUAAUUUUUUCAUUUCUUUUUCAAAAAUAACAAUAUCUAAACUUUGAUAGUCUCUUAUGCAUCAUAAAAUCCCAUGUCAUCACUUUGGAUUUGAAGAAAAUAUGUUGUUGCAUAUUUCUUAGGUAUAUAAGCCUCUAAAAUCCAAUAUAGUUCACUAGGAGUUAGCUCCUUUUGAAAAGUUAUUUGUAUGAGAAUUCAAACAUUAUCUUAUAAGUAACAUUAAAAUCAUGAUUUCAGUACUACUUAGGAUAAUGAUAGAUGAUGUUGGACUUUCUAGUCUUGUAUAUACUUAAUAAAUAUGUAAUAACUUACUCUCUCCGUUUAAAAAAGAAUGACCCUAUUUUCUUUUUAGUCUGUUUAAAAAAGAAUGACCCCUUUCCUUUUUUGGCAACACUUGAACUUUCAACGUGGCAUGUUUAAGACCACAAGAUUAAAUGACAUUUUGGUACAUUUGACAUAACUUUAAUUUAGAACAACACGAUUAAAAAGUCUUCUUUCUUUUCUUAAACUCUAUUCCAAUUCAAACUAGAUCAUCCUUUUCAAAACAGAUGCAGUAUUUCUUUUUCUUAAAUUCAAAGUGAACAUGAGAUUUUAUGAUAUAUCAAGAAGAUUAUGAAAGUUCAUGUAUUGUUGCAAAAGAAAUCAAAAAAAUUAUUUUCCAAAAGGGUUGGCAUGAGUUUGUGAAAGCCGGAGGUUUAGGAGCAAAGUACAAUUAUUUUCGCAAAUAAUUAUAUCUUUUGCUCUUAAACCUUUAGCUUUAACAAAUUUGUGCCAACCCUUUGUGUAUAUAAUUUUAUUUCUUUUACAAUAACAAUAUAUAAAUUUUCAUAGUCUCUUUAUGCAUCAGAAAAGCACAUGUCCUCUUUGAAAAAAAUACUUUGUUGCAUAUUCUUAAGUAUAUAAGCCUACAAAAUCCAACAUCACUUGGAGUUAGCUCCUUUUAAAAGCUAUUUGUAUGGGAAUUCGAGAUUAUCCUAUAAGUAACAUUAAGAUCAUGGAUUUUACCAAGAGGACUUAAAAAACACAAAAUGUUAUAGGCCUGUGAUCCCUAAGUACUAUUGGACUCAAAUAAUUUAAGUAGGUUUACACGUUGUAUUUAGAUUGAACUCAUAGAACAAAAUUUGAGUCUUAAAAUUCAAUACAAAAUGCACAGAUGGGAUUUACGUCCGUAGAUCAAACCACAAAUGAUCCGUGAAGGGUUUUUUUCCAGUUUUUAAGACUAGUUAAGGGUUUGAAUAGUGUUAAUACGUUCUUUAAUGCUUCCAAGUCUUAAAGCAAGGAUCCAAGAGGAGAAAGCUAAGAUUUUGAGCGUUCUUUGAAUUUUCACCGAUUUCACCAAGAACUUUGUUCUUCAGUGUAUGUAAGGCUAUCAUAAUGGUGGACUAUGUUCGUCCUCACACCCUAUAUCUAUCUAAAUUCAGUAAAAGAGUAAUCUAGGAUUUUAUCAUGAAUUUUAAGUAUUUUUGAGGUGAGUAAUAUCGUCGAAUUCUGAGUUUUUGAUUUCUUAGUAUUGAGUUCUCUAUAUUGUUAUUGAUAUCCUUGAGUUAAGGUGUUCAUGUUUAUAUUUCAGCAUGAAUCCUUUUUUGAGUUAUAAUUUUUGAGAAUCUUUUAAAGCAAACAUUUUUGUCUUAAGCUGAUUUUCGGAGCAAGUAAAGAUAAGUUUUGAGAAAGAGUUUUAAACAUGAUUUGAGUAAGAGUAUAAGGGAACUAUGUAUUUCCAAAUGUAUCACUUUUUACAUUGAGAAAAAUAGUAUUUUGAUUUCCAAAUGAGUUACUUUUUACAUUGAGAAAAAUAAUAUUUUGAUUUCCAAAUAAGUUACUUUUUACAUUGAGAAAAAUAAUAUUUUGAUUUCCAAAUGAGUUAACGAGUUUAGAGAUAUUUCAACUAAUCAUUACUCCAUAAAAAGUGUGUCAAACAAAUCAUAUUUAUCUAUUACUAACAAACAAAGUUACCAUGUACAAGUUUGAAACUUCCAUCAAUUCUCCAACUAAUCUAUUGAAUUAAUUAAAUUAAUUAAAAUCACUACAAUCUCUAUGGUACAAUCAUAUAUAUAAAUAUUUUUGUUUAUUUUUCCUAUCAUAAUAAUAAGAAUUUUCUUGUUCUUAUAAAAAUAAUAUCACUUUUACUAUUCUUUAAAAAUAAAAUUGCGGAGCGUCUAGCUCCUUUAUUCCAUUACAAAAAUUUUGUACAAAAAGGCCCAACAUAAGCCCAAAUAAAUCAAACAAGUACAACCUAACUGGGUCCAUCAAAAAUAGGAAAUAGACCACUCUAUAAAUUCAUUCUAAAUGAUAGGGUUUCCUGAUACUCGUCAUUUCACUCCGCCUCUUUCAUCAAUACAUUUUCUCCUGGAGUUGGUUUGAACUUGACUUACUUUCCGCCUCCUCGCUCUAUGGAACAUUUAUGUGUAUCUCCUGACGCUAUAUACUUUCUCUUUCUCAGCUCGUUGUAGUAGAGGUAUAUAUACUCUGGUGGAUGCAGUAGAUCUUUAAAUUUUCUCGACAAAAAGGUCGGGUUAUGUGAAUCUGUCAUUAAUGAUUGACAUAAUUAGGUUUGUUUUUGUUCAUUCUCCUUGUAUUUUUUCACAUGAAUUCUUGUUUCUAUAAUUUUGCAAAAAAUAUUCUGGUUUAAAUCUUUCAAUGAAUAUCUUGAUAGUUCUUUUCUCUUUUGAUUUGUAAAAACAGAGAAAGUCUUUUGUUUUGAUGGACGUUUGGACAUAAAUUUUGUGAAAUUUGAAAAGAAAAAAAAUAGAAUUUAAGAGAGAAUUGUAUUGACCUCCCAGAUGGUCACUCAGCUAAUAUUUAUCAUCUCAGAAAGUCAUUUACUUGUUAAAAAAAUUGAAAAUCAACAAGAAGAAUGUCUUUCUAUGAUAAUAAACAUUAAUUGAGUGAGACCAUCUAUUAUAUUGUCCAUUUUUAAUAUUAUUAUUUUAUAUUUUAAUCUUUGUGUCUGAACAAUAAAAUUCAGCAUUUGAAAUUGUACCUAACUACCUACCAAUCUCUAAUAUUUUCAUAGAUUUUCUCAAAAUAUCUUUUUUUUUAGAAAAAAAAAUUCUUAUGAUUCAACAUGAAAGACGAAAUGACCUUAAUAUCAAGUAUAAUCACAUAAGUAACAAUUGGUGAUUGCGUUUUAAGAGCGAGCAAUCAUCUAUUGCCCAAAAAAUACAAGAUUCAUGCAUCUGAGAAAAAAACUUGCAAUUCUAGAUGAAGACUCAAAGGUGGUUUAGGCCAACUUAAUGGGCAUUGUCCUAAGGUAUGUGUAGAUGCUACUCUCCUUAUACGUCAUUUGUGGAAUUACACUAAAUGUGUAUGUUGUUUUAUGUCAUACCAGAGAUAAACACAUACAGUUCAGGUAUUGUUAUUGCAAAAAGGUUGGCAUAAGUUUGUGAAAGACAGAGGUUUAAGACCAAACGGUACAAUUAUUUUCAAAUAAUUGUAAUUGCUCUUAAACCUUUAGCUUUCACAAAUCUAUGUCAAUUCUUCGUGUAAAUAAUUUUUUCAUUUCUUUUACAAAAAUAACAAUAUCUAAACUUUGAUAGUCUCUUUAUGCAUCAUAAAAUCCCAUGUCAUCACUUUGGAUUUGAAGAAAAUAUGUUGUUGCAUAUUUCUUAGGUAUAUAAGCCUCUAAAAUCCAAUAUCACUUGGAGUUAGCUCCUUUUGAAAAGUUAUUUGUAUGAGAAUUCAACAUUAUCUUAUAAGUAACAUUAAAAUCAUGAUUCCAGUGCUACUUAGGAUAAUGAUGGAUGAUGUUGGACUUUCUAGUCUUGUAUAUACUUAAUAAAUAUGUAAUAAUUUACUCCUUUCGUUUCAAAAAGAAUGACCAUAUUUCCUUUUUAGUCUGUUUCAAAAAGAAUGAUCACUUUUCUUUUUUGGCAACAGUUUAACUUUAACUUUCCACGUGGCAUGUUUAAGACCACAAGAUUAAAUGACAUUUUGGUACAUUUGACAUAACUUUAAUUUAGAACAACACGAUUAAAAAGUCUUCUUUCUUUUCUUAAACUCUAUUCCAAGUCAAACUAGAUCAUCCUUUUCAAAACAGAUGCAGUAUUUCUUUUUCUUAAAUUCAAAGAUGAACAUGAGAUUUUAUGAUAUAUCAAGAAGAUUAUGAAAGUUCAUGUAUUGUUGCAAAAGAAAUCAAAAAAAUUAUUUUCCAAAAGGGUUGGCAUGAGUUUGUGAAAGCCGGAGGUUUAGGAGCAAAGUACAAUUAUUUUCGCAAAUAAUUGUAUCUUUUGCUCUUAAACCUUUAGCUUUAACAAAUUUGUGUCAACCCUUUGUGUAUAUAAUUUUUAUUUCUUUUACAAUAACAAUAUAUAAAUUUUCAUAGUCUCUUUAUGCAUCAGAAAAGCACAUGUCCUCUUUGAAAAAAAUACUUUGUUGCAUAUUCUUAGGUACAUAAGCCUAUAAAAUCCAACAUCACUUGGAAUUAGCUCCUUUUGAAAGCUAUUUGUAUGGGAAUUCGAGAUUAUCCUAUAAGUAACAUUUAAAUCAUGGAUUUUACCAGGAGGCCUAAAAAACACAAAAUGCUAUAGGCUUGUGAUCCGUAAGUACUAUUGGACUCACAUUUUAAGUAGGUUUACACGUAGUAUGUAGAUUGAACUCAUAGAACAAAAUUUGAGUCUUAAAAUUCAAUACAAAAUGCACAGAUGGGAUUUACGUCCGUAGAUCAAACCACGAAUGAUCCGUGAAGGGUUUUUUUCCAGUUUUUAAGACUAGUUAAGGGUUUGAACAGUGUUAAUGAAUCCUUUACGUUCUUUAAUGCUUCCAAGUCUUAAAGCAAGGAUCCAAGAGGAGAAAGCUAAGAUUUUGAGCGUUCUUUGAAUUUUCACCGAUUUCACCAAGAACUUUGUUCUUCAGUGUAUGUAAGGCUAUCAUAAUGGUGGACUAUGUUCGUCCUCACACCCUAUAUCUAUCUAAAUUCAGUAAAAGAGUAAUCUAGGAUUUUAUCAUGAAUUUUAAGUAUUUUUGAGGUGAGUAAUAUCGUCGAAUCUUGAGUUUUUGAUUUCUUAGUAUUGAGUUCUCUAUAUUGUUAUUGAUAUCCUUGAGUUAAGGUGUUCAUGUUUAUAUUUCAGCAUGAAUCCUUUUUUGAGUUGUAAUUUUUGAGAAUCUUUUAAAGCAAACAUUUUUGUCUUAAGCUGAUUUUCGGAGCAAGUAAAGAUAAGUUUUGAGAAAGAGUUUUAAACAUGAUUUGAGUAAGAGUAUAAGGGAACUAUGUAUUUCCGAAUGUAUCACUUUUUACAUUGAGAAAAAUAGUAUUUUGAUUUCCAAAUGAGUUAACGAGUUUAGAGAUAUUUCAAAACAUUACCUCCUUAAAGAGGAUAUCUUGAGAAAUUAUCUCAAAAUUGAGAAACAAUAUGUUUUAUACAUUUUAGCAUGACCAUAUAUUUAUUGAGAGUAGUAUUGAGCACCGAUAUGGGAAUGAGUUCAGACAAGUAACAUCCCUCAUAAAUUAUGUAGCCAACAUGGGUAAAAGAUCGUAUUAUUUAGACGACUCCUUAUUGCUUUCAAGCAAAGCCUUAGUGGAUCCACUUAGUUGAAAUGUUCUAUUUCUCUGCAAGGUAUAGGACAGUUCUGGCAGCAUGAACAAGACGUUAUACCGUCGCGUUCCUCAUAGUGAUGGUUAUCGAUUAGAGGAUCUCCCAGAUAGAAUUAAAAGUGUAUUUUUAUCAUAUCACUUAAUAUUUUGAGUUCACAGAUGAGUAGGUAUUUGUAAAGUUUAAAUAUUUUCACUCAUUUAUUUCUUUACUUACAGUUGAGUAAAUAUUUAUAUGUAUUGUAGUUCUUUCAUUCAGUUAUUUUGCUUUAGUUAUAUUACAUACUCAUACAUUCAAUGUAUUGAUAUCAUUCUAUCAGUAUCUUUUUAUGAUGCAGAUACAGAAGACUCUUCAUUGAAAUCACUUGCACUUCCAGUUAGCUUAGUUGAGCCUCCUUGCAUUCUAGAGGACUCUACUUUUAUAUUUUAGUUAUUUACUUUGAGGUGUCGUGGGUCUUGAACCAACAUCAGUCUAGAACAACAAAGGCUUCAUAGAUUGUUAGUUUUGAAUAUAUUUUCGGUAUAAUUAAAUUGCAUUUCAACAAUUCUUGUUUUUGAAGUAUUUUUGAAACAUUCGAGUACUUUGAGAUUAAAAGGUUUAAUUAUGUUUAAAACU